RNAcentral lists this ribosomal RNA (497 nucleotides) under uncultured bacterium. RNAcentral describes it as "partial 16S ribosomal RNA". It matches the Rfam family "Bacterial small subunit ribosomal RNA", at positions 28 to 507 of the family's 1533-position model. The record is from RNAcentral.
GAUGAACGCCGGCGGCGUGCCUAAUACAUGCAAGUCGAGCGAACAGACGAGGAGCUUGCUCCUCUGACGUUAGCGGCGGACGGGUGAGUAACACGUGGAUAACCUACCUAUAAGACUGGGAUAACUUCGGGAAACCGGAGCUAAUACCGGAUAAUAUAUUGAACCGCAUGGUUCAAUAGUGAAAGACGGUUUUGCUGUCACUUAUAGAUGGAUCCGCGCCGCAUUAGCUAGUUGGUAAGGUAACGGCUUACCAAGGCGACGAUGGGUAGCCGACCUGAGAGGGUGAUUGGCCAGACUGGAACUGAGACACGGUCCAGACUCCUACGGGAGGCAGCAGUAGGGAAUCUUCCGCAAUGGGCGAAAGCCUGACGGAGCAACGCCGCGUGAGUGAUGAAGGUCUUCGGAUCGUAAAACUCUGUUAUUAGGGAAGAACAAAUGUGUAAGUAACUAUGCACGUCUUGACGGUACCUAAUCAGAAAGCCACGGCUAACUACGUG